RNAcentral lists this ribosomal RNA (504 nucleotides) under uncultured bacterium. RNAcentral's name for it is "partial 16S ribosomal RNA". It matches the Rfam family "Bacterial small subunit ribosomal RNA", at positions 30 to 523 of the family's 1533-position model. The record is from RNAcentral.
AUUGAACGCUGGCGGCAGGCCUAACACAUGCAAGUCGAACGGUAGCACAGAGAGCUUGCUCUCGGGUGACGAGUGGCGGACGGGUGAGUAAUGUCUGGGAAACUGCCUGAUGGAGGGGGAUAACUACUGGAAACGGUAGCUAAUACCGCAUAACGUCGCAAGACCAAAGAGGGGGACCUUCGGGCCUCUUGCCAUCAGAUGUGCCCAGAUGGGAUUAGCUAGUAGGUGGGGUAACGGCUCACCUAGGCGACGAUCCCUAGCUGGUCUGAGAGGAUGACCAGCCACACUGGAACUGAGACACGGUCCAGACUCCUACGGGAGGCAGCAGUGGGAAAUAUUGCACAAUGGGCGCAAGCCUGAUGCAGCCAUGCCGCGUGUAUGAAGAAGGCCUUCGGGUUGUAAAGUACUUUCAGCGGGGAGGAAGGCAAUACGGUUAAUAACCGUGUUGAUUGACGUUACCCGCAGAAGAAGCACCGGCUAACUCCGUGCCAGCCGCCGCGGUAA